CCGACCCACAGAUAAAAGGUCAAGAAAAACCAGGAAGGGAGAGAGAGGGCGGGAAGGAUCUAUGAACCAUAGAGAAAGAGACAAUCUACAUUGGCUGGAUUUACCGUGUACGAGCUGGACUGUUUUGGACUUACCUGUUGGCGUUUAGACCUGGACCUACCGAGAACCAGAUUUGUGUACCGAACCCUGCUAUCCUUGACCUUACCUGUGGCCUGACCAGGACAGCGAAACAAACACACAGAACGCAGCACUUCCUAUUCUUCAGAGUCUAAAGUGACAGACGUGCAGCAACUAAAGAACCAAACUCUGCUUUAACCACUCCGGACUGUUUGACUAUUGUGACUCCUGAUGCUGGGUGUGGCCUACCUGUCUACCUGGGAACGCAGAUGUUCAACUACCUCCUAUGCCUGGUCACCAACAUCUGCUGCUGGUGGCGGGCGGCCCUUCGGUCCAGGUGAACCAGGAGAUCUUCACCAUCAACCAGUCUGUCAGGGAGCUUCUCUACUGCCUCUACUCGCCUACAUUGGUCACCAAUGUCCUCUUCAAUGUCCUCUUGGGGCAGCAGGAAGCCUAGUGGUUAGAGCGUGGUUAGAGCGUUGGACUAGUAACCGAAAGGUCGCUAGAUUGAAUCCCCGAGCUGACAAGGUAAAAAUCUGUCAUUCUGCCCCUGAAGAAGGCAGUUAACCCACUGUUGCUAAGCUGUCAUUGUAAAUAAGAAUAUGUUCUUAACUGACUUGCCUAGUUAAAUCAUGGUAAAAAUGGGUGUGAAUUUGCCAUUAUAUUUGUCCUUUUAUAAGUUAAAUUAGGCAGAAAAAUGUAAAGAUCUUACUCUCACCUCACUAACCUAUUUUUAACUGUUUUGCUUGGCAAAAAAUGACCCCGCAAAAAUAUAUAACUUUACAAAAUCAUAUUUUUACUUGUAUUACAUCACGUAAAGUAGUUACUUCUGUACUUUUGAGUGAUGUAUUGUAUGUUUUAAUAGAAGUGUGAAAUAAAGCAAAUCUGAUUGUCUGUCACGUAUGAUUACAACAUGUCAUCAAAUAUCUCCCCCUUCAGUGAAUGUAUGCACAUGUCUUGGUUAAUUGUAUCACCAUUACUAAACUUGCAAACUAAGAAAACGUCACUGAAAAGAAAAUAUUAGCUUUCAUGAAUGUUGAAACCUGCCUGACAUUUUCAUUGACUACUUAAUGGCAGCAAACAUUGUAUUUUAUCUGUUGUAACUGCAUCUGUUUAGGAGAUCUGCCUAAUUCUGGAGUGGAUUUAGAAAUUGUUGUUCAAUAUUGUGUUUUAAAAUAUUACCAAACAGAAUGACACACCAAAAAAAAUUACCCAACAUGUUAGUGUUUUUGGUAUCCUUGGAAACCUUAAGGAUGUGGUUGUCAGAGUUUCAAACCUAAUGCUUGUCUCUCUAUCUACAGGCAACUCCUUAUGCAUGUAUGUAGCCCUUUACACUCCACAACCCGUAUUUGGGUUGAACAUUAUAAAUUGGUUCAAUGAAAAGCGCAUAAAUUGGAUGCAGUGGCUAUACAGCAAACAUGCUAUACUUGAGGUCAGAGCUCAGGUCAGGCUCAUGGUCUCUGUUUUACAUAGCUGUACAGGAUUCAACUUACAAUACUUUAAUUCAAGCGCAACAACAAGAUGCCCCCUUCCCUGCCACUAAUUGGGCUAACUUUGCACAUUUGUUUUGGUCUUAGAAGGAAAUGUUGUAAAUCAAGAGGUCUCAAUGUGUUCUGAAAGUUGAGAAGUUAAGGAUUAUAAUAUAUGCUGCUUUGAUGUCAUACAAGCAAACCACACAGUCAAAAUGUGCACAUUACUUUUGCAUAUUACAGAAGUCAUGUCAUUUACAGUAUCAAAGAUUGUUUGAUGUACAAUUAAAAUAAGGACAUUGCAUCUUAUUAUGGGUUGUUCUGAACAGAAUGAGCCUAUAUUUGUCAUGUUGUGAAGAACAUUAACCGCUGAACAUUAGCCAUCUGAAUGAACUCAUAACAGGGUUGUGUUCGAGACCGCCUAAAGCGAGACCGAUUUAAGACCAAGACCGGAGCAAAUCGAGUCAGAGUCAAGACCGGAGGGGGACAAGGGGUCCGACACCGAGUCAAGACCGAGACCAGUAAAAAGGGAGUCCAAUUCAAGACAUGAUAGUAAUUUUGUCAAACCGCCAUUGUAGUUCAAAAUGUCGAGUGUUUCUGUGUUGAUAUUUCAGAACAACAUACUGUAGAUACACAAGCAUUUCACUGCACCUGUGAUGACGUCUGAAAAUCUGUGUAUGCAACUUAACUUUGAUUUACAAAAGCAGUUACUACAGCUAAAAGACGAUGUUGGCUGUCAUGCAAAUGUUGUUCAUGGAAACUGAUUUUUUUUCUUCCAGUGGCCCUGACUGUGGCUCUGUCUGGGUUUCAUCUUACAUUACAUUUAUGUUGUAGUUGAUUAGCAGACGCUCCUAUGGUACAUACAUGCAUACACAGUAUGCUAUAUAUUUUGUAGCAUUACAAUAUGUAAUGCAAAACAGUCAGGAAUAGGUUGGAAUUGUAAACAUGAGGUGAUAGUAAAAUCAGACAAUUUUCUUCCCAAUAUCACUAAUAUCACACCAUGCACAGACAAAUAAAAUGGCAAUUUUGCACACAAUCACCCC
Molecule: long non-coding RNA, 2629 nt
Filed under: Salmo salar (Atlantic salmon)
Lineage: Eukaryota; Metazoa; Chordata; Actinopteri; Salmoniformes; Salmonidae
Description: lncRNA (ENSSSAG00000083820.1)
Source: RNAcentral